Molecule: unclassified non-coding RNA, 375 nt
Filed under: uncultured bacterium
Lineage: Bacteria
Description: contains 16S-23S intergenic spacer region
Source: RNAcentral
UCGCGGCUUAUCACCGGCAGUCCCCUUAGAGUGCCCAACUGAAUGAUGGCAACUAAGGGCGAGGGUUGCGCUCGUUGCGGGACUUAACCCAACAUCUCACGACACGAGCUGACGACAGCCAUGCAGCAUCUGUGCACGCUCCCUUGCGGGUCAUUCCUGUUUCCAGGUCUUACCACGUGCAUGUCAAGCCUAGGUAAGGUUCUUCGCGUUGCGUCGAAUUAAACCACACGCUCCGCUGCUUGUGCGGGCCCCCGUCAAUUCCUUUGAGUUUCAAUCUUGCGAUCGUACUUCCCAGGUGGGAUACUUAAUGCUUUCGCUCAGACACACACAGUGUAUCGCGUAUGUCGAGUAUCCAUCGUUUAGGGCGUGGACUAC